This 465-nucleotide ribosomal RNA is filed under the name uncultured Klebsiella sp. RNAcentral describes it as "bacterial SSU rRNA". It matches the Rfam family "Bacterial small subunit ribosomal RNA", at positions 338 to 795 of the family's 1533-position model. Lineage: Bacteria; Pseudomonadati; Pseudomonadota; Gammaproteobacteria; Enterobacterales; Enterobacteriaceae. The record is from RNAcentral.
CCUACGGGCGGCAGCAGUGGGGAAUAUUGCACAAUGGGCGCAAACCUGAUGCAGCCAUGCCGCGUGUGUGAAGAAGGCCUUCGGGUUGUAAAGCACUUUCAGCGGGGAGGAAGGCGGUGAGGUUAAUAACCUCAUCGAUUGACGUUACCCGCAGAAGAAGCACCGGCUAACUCCGUGCCAGCAGCCGCGGUAAUACGGAGGGUGCAAGCGUUAAUCGGAAUUACUGGGCGUAAAGCGCACGCAGGCGGUCUGUCAAGUCGGAUGUGAAAUCCCCGGGCUCAACCUGGGAACCGCAUUCGAAACUGGCAGGCUAGAGUCUUGUAGAGGGGGGUAGAAUUCCAGGUGUAGCGGUGAAAUGCGUAGAGAUCUGGAGGAAUACCGGUGGCGAAGGCGGCCCCCUGGACAAAGACUGACGCUCAGGUGCGAAAGCGUGGGGAGCAAACAGGAUUAGAUACCCCAGUAGUC